RNAcentral lists this ribosomal RNA (468 nucleotides) under uncultured bacterium. RNAcentral describes it as "partial 16S ribosomal RNA". It matches the Rfam family "Bacterial small subunit ribosomal RNA", at positions 28 to 507 of the family's 1533-position model. The record is from RNAcentral.
GACGAACGCUGGCGGCGUGCUUAACACAUGCAAGUCGAACGGAAAGGCCCUGCUUUUGUGGGGUGCUCGAGUGGCGAAAGGGUGAGUAUCACGUGAGUAACCUGCCCUUGACUUUGGGAUAACCCCAGGAAACUGGGGCUAAUACCGGAUAGGAGCUCCUGCUGCACGGUGGGGGUUGGAAAGAUUCGGAGGUUUGGAAUGGACUGGCGGCUUAUCAUCUUGUUGGCUGGGUAGUGGCUUACCAAGGCUUUGACGGGUAGCCGGCCUGGGAGGGUGACCGGCCACAAUGGGACUGGGAGACGGCCAAGAGUGCUACGGGAGGCAGCAGGGGGAAAUAUUGCACAAUGGGCGGAAGCCGGAUGGAACAACGCCGGGUGCGGGAUGACGGCUUGCGGGUUGUAAACCGCUUUCGCCUGUGACGAAGCGUGAGUGACGGUAAUGAGUAAAGAAGCACCGGCUAACUACGUG